RNAcentral lists this small RNA (1602 nucleotides) under Pongo abelii (Sumatran orangutan). RNAcentral describes it as "retained intron". Lineage: Eukaryota; Metazoa; Chordata; Mammalia; Primates; Hominidae. The record is from RNAcentral.
UUUAUUAGUGGAGGAUGAACUGAAGCAAAUUGCUGAAAAUAUUGAAAGCAUUAAUCAGAACAAAGCUCCUUCGAAAUAUAUAGGCAACUAUGCGAUUUUAGAUCAUCUUGGAAGUGGAGCUUUUGGCUGUGUUUACAAGCUUUAUCAUCCCAACAUUGUACGUUAUUACAAAACAUUUCUGGAAAAUGAUAGGUUGUACAUAGUUAUGGAGCUUAUAGAAGGAGCCCCGCUUGGAGAGCAUUUCAGUUCUUUGAAGGAAAAACAUCACCAUUUUACUGAAGAAAGACUAUGGAAAAUAUUUAUACAGCUAUGCUUAGCUCUUCGAUACUUACACAAGGAGAAGAGGAUUGUCCAUAGAGAUCUUACACCAAACAACAUUAUGUUGGGGGAUAAGGACAAAGUAACAGUUACUGACUUUGGCCUGGCAAAGCAAAAACAAGAAAACAGUAAACUCACGUCUGUGGUUGGAACAAUCCUGUAUUCUUGCCCCGAGGUACUGAAGAGUGAGCCGUAUGGGGAGAAGGCUGAUGUCUGGGCAGUAGGCUGCAUCCUUUAUCAGAUGGCGACUUUGAAUCCCCCCUUCUACAGCACUAACAUGCUGUCCUUGGCUACAAAAAUAGUGGAGGCGGUAUAUGAACCAGUGCCAGAAGGUAUCUACUCUGAAAAAGUAACAGACACCAUCAGCAGGUGCCUCACUCCUGAUGCGGAAGCUCGUCCAGAUAUUGUAGAAGUCAGUUCGAUGAUAUCAGAUGUCAUGAUGAAAUAUUUAGACAACUUAUCUAAAUCCCAGUUGUCCUUGGAGAAGAAGCUAGAACGGGAACGAAGACGCACACAAAGGUAUUUUAUGGAAGCCAACCGGAACACCAUCACAUGUCACCAUGAGCUGACUCUUCUAUCUCAUGAGACCUUUGAGAAGGCAAGUUUGAGUAGCAGCAGCAGUGGAGCAGCCAGCCUGAAAAGUGAACUUUCAGAAAGCGCAGACCUGCCCCCUGAAGGCUUCCAGGCCUCCUAUGGUAAAGACGAAGACAGGGCCUGUGACGAAAUCCUGUCAGAUGAUAACUUCAACCUGGAAAAUACUGAGAAAGAUACAUAUUCAGAGGUAGAUGAUGAAUUGGACAUUUCGGAUAACUCCAGCAGCUCCAGUUCAAGCCCUCUGAAAGAAUCUACAUUCAACAUUUUAAAGAGAAGUUUUAGUGCUUCAGGAGGAGAAAGACAAUCCCAAACAAGGGACUUCACUGGAGGAACAGGAUCAAGACCAAGACCAGCUUUGCUGCCUCUUGACCUGCUUCUGAAAGUGCCACCCCUCAUGCUCAGGGCCCACAUUAAGGAACUAGAGGCCGAGUUAGUGACAGGGUGGCAGUCCCAUAGCCUUCCUGCUGUGAUUCUUCGAAAUCUCAAAGAUCAUGGUAGUACUUACUAGAUCACAUUGAUGUUAAGCACAUAGUGGGCAAAUGCAGAAUUAUAGUUGGGCCUGAGAUGUCUGAACGAUGCUUGGGUGGUAAUUUUAAUACAAAGAGCAGGAGAAUUCUGCCUUGUUUGUUCACCAUUAUUAGUUUGGUGAUUUGAUGGUAACAAAAUACCUUCUGUGUUCACUGUUGGUUG